GGGUUGUGAGGUUAAGCGACUAAGCGUACACGGUGGAUGCCCUGGCAGUCAGAGGCGAUGAAGGGCGUGCUAAUCUGCGAUAAGCGCCGGUAAGGUGAUAUGAACCGUUAUAACCGGCGAUACCCGAAUGGGGAAACCCAGUGUGAUUCGUCACACUAUCAUUAACUGAAUCCAUAGGUUAAUGAGGCGAACCGGGGGAACUGAAACAUCUAAGUACCCCGAGGAAAAGAAAUCAACCGAGAUUCCCCCAGUAGCGGCGAGCGAACGGGGAGGAGCCCAGAGCCUGAAUCAGCAUGUGUGUUAGUGGAAGCGUCUGGAAAGGCGCGCGAUACAGGGUGACAGCCCCGUACACAAAAGCGCAUGUGCUGUGAGCUCGAUGAGUAGGGCGGGACACGUGGUAUCCUGUCUGAAUAUGGGGGGACCAUCCUCCAAGGCUAAAUACUCCUGACUGACCGAUAGUGAACCAGUACCGUGAGGGAAAGGCGAAAAGAACCCCGGCGAGGGGAGUGAAAAAGAACCUGAAACCGUGUACGUACAAGCAGUGGGAGCACCCUUUGGGGUGUGACUGCGUACCUUUUGUAUAAUGGGUCAGCGACUUAUAUUCUGUAGCAAGGUUAACCGUAUAGGGGAGCCGCAGGGAAACCGAGUCUUAACCGGGCGUUAAGUUGCAGGGUAUAGACCCGAAACCCGGUGAUCUAGCCAUGGGCAGGUUGAAGGUUGGGUAACACUAACUGGAGGACCGAACCGACUAAUGUUGAAAAAUUAGCGGAUGACCUGUGGCUGGGGGUGAAAGGCCAAUCAAACCGGGAGAUAGCUGGUUCUCCCCGAAAGCUAUUUAGGUAGCGCCUCGUGAAUUCAUCUCCGGGGGUAGAGCACUGUUUCGGCUAGGGGGCCAUCCCGGCUUACCAACCCGAUGCAAACUGCGAAUACCGGAGAAUGUUAUCACGGGAGACACACGGCGGGUGCUAACGUCCGUCGUGAAGAGGGAAACAACCCAGACCGCCAGCUAAGGUCCCAAAGUCAUGGUUAAGUGGGAAACGAUGUGGGAAGGCCCAGACAGCCAGGAUGUUGGCUUAGAAGCAGCCAUCAUUUAAAGAAAGCGUAAUAGCUCACUGGUCGAGUCGGCCUGCGCGGAAGAUGUAACGGGGCUAAACCAUGCACCGAAGCUGCGGCAGCGACGCUGAUGCGUUGUUGGGUAGGGGAGCGUUCUGUAAGCCUGCGAAGGUGGCCUGUGAGGGUUGCUGGAGGUAUCAGAAGUGCGAAUGCUGACAUAAGUAACGAUAAAGCGGGUGAAAAGCCCGCUCGCCGGAAGACCAAGGGUUCCUGUCCAACGUUAAUCGGGGCAGGGUGAGUCGACCCCUAAGGCGAGGCCGAAAGGCGUAGUCGAUGGGAAACGGGUUAAUAUUCCCGUACUUGGUGUUACUGCGAAGGGGGGACGGAGAAGGCUAUGUUGGCCGGGCGACGGUUGUCCCGGUUUAAGCGUGUAGGUGUGUGUUCCAGGUAAAUCCGGUUCACUUUAACACUGAGGCGUGAUGACGAGGCACUACGGUGCUGAAGCAACAAAUGCCCUGCUUCCAGGAAAAGCCUCUAAGCAUCAGGUAACAUCAAAUCGUACCCCAAACCGACACAGGUGGUCAGGUAGAGAAUACCAAGGCGCUUGAGAGAACUCGGGUGAAGGAACUAGGCAAAAUGGUGCCGUAACUUCGGGAGAAGGCACGCUGACACGUAGGUGAAGUGAUUUACUCAUGGAGCUGAAGUCAGUCGAAGAUACCAGCUGGCUGCAACUGUUUAUUAAAAACACAGCACUGUGCAAACACGAAAGUGGACGUAUACGGUGUGACGCCUGCCCGGUGCCGGAAGGUUAAUUGAUGGGGUCAGCGCAAGCGAAGCUCCUGAUCGAAGCCCCGGUAAACGGCGGCCGUAACUAUAACGGUCCUAAGGUAGCGAAAUUCCUUGUCGGGUAAGUUCCGACCUGCACGAAUGGCGUAAUGAUGGCCAGGCUGUCUCCACCCGAGACUCAGUGAAAUUGAACUCGCUGUGAAGAUGCAGUGUACCCGCGGCAAGACGGAAAGACCCCGUGAACCUUUACUAUAGCUUGACACUGAACAUUGAGCCUUGAUGUGUAGGAUAGGUGGGAGGCUUUGAAGUGUGGACGCCAGUCUGCAUGGAGCCGACCUUGAAAUACCACCCUUUAAUGUUUGAUGUUCUAACGUGGACCCGUAAUCCGGGUUGCGGACAGUGUCUGGUGGGUAGUUUGACUGGGGCGGUCUCCUCCUAAAGAGUAACGGAGGAGCACGAAGGUUGGCUAAUCCUGGUCGGACAUCAGGAGGUUAGUGCAAUGGCAUAAGCCAGCUUGACUGCGAGCGUGACGGCGCGAGCAGGUGCGAAAGCAGGUCAUAGUGAUCCGGUGGUUCUGAAUGGAAGGGCCAUCGCUCAACGGAUAAAAGGUACUCCGGGGAUAACAGGCUGAUACCGCCCAAGAGUUCAUAUCGACGGCGGUGUUUGGCACCUCGAUGUCGGCUCAUCACAUCCUGGGGCUGAAGUAGGUCCCAAGGGUAUGGCUGUUCGCCAUUUAAAGUGGUACGCGAGCUGGGUUUAGAACGUCGUGAGACAGUUCGGUCCCUAUCUGCCGUGGGCGCUGGAGAACUGAGGGGGGCUGCUCCUAGUACGAGAGGACCGGAGUGGACGCAUCACUGGUGUUCGGGUUGUCAUGCCAAUGGCACUGCCCGGUAGCUAAAUGCGGAAGAGAUAAGUGCUGAAAGCAUCUAAGCACGAAACUUGCCCCGAGAUGAGUUCUCCCUGAGACUUAGAGUCUCCUGAAGGAACGUUGAAGACGACGACGUUGAUAGGCCGGGUGUGUAAGCGCAGCGAUGCGUUGAGCUAACCGGUACUAAUGAACCGUGAGGCUUAACCUUACAACGCCGAAG
This 2927-nucleotide ribosomal RNA is filed under the name Salmonella enterica subsp. enterica serovar Derby. RNAcentral describes it as "bacterial LSU rRNA". It matches the Rfam family "Bacterial large subunit ribosomal RNA". Lineage: Bacteria; Pseudomonadati; Pseudomonadota; Gammaproteobacteria; Enterobacterales; Enterobacteriaceae. The record is from RNAcentral.